Molecule: long non-coding RNA, 467 nt
Filed under: Glycine max (soybean)
Lineage: Eukaryota; Viridiplantae; Streptophyta; Magnoliopsida; Fabales; Fabaceae
Description: long non-coding RNA (GMAX_LNC004101)
Source: RNAcentral
UUCUCUCAUUCAAUAACCAUCAGUACGUCUAAACAAAUACAUAAAUCAAUUAUUUUUUUGGUUAGGGGAAGGGACAUUUAUUAGCCCUCAAUACAUAACUCCAUAGAAAAAGAAAGCUUAAUCCGACAAACAUCGGGAAGGCUUAGCAUUUUUUCUUUUUGAAACCUCAAAACUGGUCCAGCAACCCGCAGGCAAUUGCAAAGAUCUCUUAUACCUUGACCCGUGGCCAUGGCUUUGUCAAACACAGAAGUUGCUGCUUUACAACAAUCAAAAGUUGGAUUGGGAUGGAUAUUCCCCAUAUAAGGCCCACAAAAAGUGAGUAAUGAUUCAUCCCCAUUGCAUGAAGGAGGGAUUUGAGAUAGAGUGAAAGUUGUUGCUGCCAAACCAUAUGCCAUAACAAACAUGACUAGAGCCAAAAAUGUCUUUUCUCCCAUCUUAUCUUGAAUAUGUAUACAACUUUGUUUUCA